CUUCCAAGUAGAAAGAAGCAUAUGACUAUUCUACAUGAUGUUAGUGGAACCAUCGAGCCUUGCAAGGUGUGUCAGGGGAAGCCGGUCGCCUUGGGCCUCAGAUUUUAGAGGGCCUCAGAUUGUGAGGCCCAUAGGGGAUGGAGAAAGGUCAAAAGAAAAAAGAAAAAAGAAAAAAGAAAAAUAAGUUAGGGUAAGUUUCAGACGACACAAUCUGCCACGAAGUAGAAAGAAGCAUAUGCUAGUGGAAUCAUCAAGCCUUGCAGGUGAGUCUGUGCUAGGGCCGGCCCUGGCCCAAGGCGACAGCGUAGCCCUGGGCCUCAAAUUUUGAGGCCCAUAGGGGAUUAAAAAAAUAAAAAAUAAAAAAUAAAAAAAAGUUAGGGCAAGUUUCAGACGACACAAUCUGCUUCGACACUCCGCAGGGCUCGGCCUCCGCUAUCGCCUAAGGUCACAAGGAGUUUAACUAGCAAUCCUUCACUUGAAGACAUAUCUUUUAGACAUCUCAUGAGGUAUCUUUGUUUUUCUGUAAAUCAUAUUAUUGCAUAUUGAGCCAUUGAGGUAAUCUAUAUUUUCUUUCAGCAAAACAUUUUUUUUUAAAGUUUAGUUUUAUGUUGAUUGUGUUUCCUGUUAUUUAGAUUUAUAAGAUUUCAAGAUUUAUGACAAUUAUGUCUACAAGAAAAUUUGAAUCUGGGUAUGAAAAAAAAGAAAAAAGAAAAAAAAGAAUUGAUUCAAUCUCAAAAAGACGCUAUUCAUAAGUUUUUUAGGAACAAAGCACAAACUGAGAGUUUAGUUGAAGAUUUGGUGAAUGAAGAACAUAGGAAUGAAGAAAAUCUUAAUGAACAUGGAGAUUCAAUGAAUAGAAAUGAUGAGAGUUUAGUUGAAGAUUUGGUGAAUGAAGAAUAUAGAAAUGAAGAAAAUCUUAAUGAACAUGGAGAUUCAAUGAAUAGGAAUGAGAAUCAACAUUAGCACUUUAAUUGAUAAUUUUGCAGCUCAAAAUGCAAGACAAUCACAUUUACUUUAGGCUCCGUUCGGUAUGACGGAAGAAAAUUGGAUGGAAGGGAGAGAAGAAGGGAAUGAUGAGACAUCCCUAGGGAAGAGAUUAUGAACUUCCUUCAUUUUGUUUGGUUGGAUGGAAGAGACGAGAAGAACCUACCAAAUUCCUUUGUUUGUUACGAGAGAAGGAAAGAGAGAAUUUAAAAUUAUUUUUACCAUUAUACCCUUCUAUAUAAUAUCUACAAAAAAAGUUAAAAAACAAAAAAAAAAAAAAAAAAAAAACUUAAACAAGUACAUACCAUAUAACUAUAUUAUAACAUGUCAGUAUUUUCCAAACUCCAUAUCUCGACCAAAUAAGGGUUACAGAGGUCAGGCUCAAGGCAAGCGUGGGGUACAAAAGUUUGAGUUCUUUGUGUAGAUGUUAGGUAAUUGUGUUACAAAUUAAUGAUAGAUUGUCACUGUGAGGCAAUAGCAGAAGAUAUCUAAUUUUUUAUAUAUAAAAAAUAUACCAAAAUAAAUAUUGGCAGACGGAAAAAUGCUAGUUUAUGUGAAAUUAUUGGUAAAUUUUCAAAUUAUUAUUCCAACUGGAAGAUCAAAAGUCAAUGAUUUAUUGCUCUUUGAGGGUUUCAUUCUUUUUAUUUCAUCAAUUGAAAAGUUGUUUGUUCUCUUGAUGGGUUUAACAAGACAAUUAGUUACACGACAAGUUCUAUCCUCCCUCGAUCGUUUACUUAACUUGUAUGCAAAAGUAUAGAGUUUUCGAUUCCUUCAUUGGUGCGAUUCUGGAUGAUUGAGGGUGAAAACUUAGUAUAUCAGUAGCACAGAAAGUUAAACAUGAUCAUCAAUAACUUUGUAGAGUUGUUAGAGCAACCCACUCUGUACAACCAAUCGCCUAUAUAUAUUAUAACACAUGAAGCAAAUUUGCUUGUAAAUACAGUCGAUCUAUGUAUAUGUACAGAUCGAGAAAGAGCAAGAGAGAGUUUCUUAUGAGAGAUCGCCGGAGUUUGAUCGAGUUCAACGUGAAAGUGAGUUCUUCUUGAUAGGGUUUUGCGUGAGACGAGAUGCGUAGGGUUUAUUUUUUAAUAUUUGGGAAGGAUAAUCUUGUAAUAUAGUAUUUUAAUAAUAGCUCUGCUUGUUUUCUCUCGUGUCUUCCGCCCAAAUUUGGGCGGAUGAAAAUUUGUAAAGAAGGAGGGGGAUAAGCCAUCCCUCCUAUUGUCCUCUCUCUCCGUGUCUUCUUCCUACCGAACGAAGGAAUUUUGUUCCUUCCCUCCUAUUUUCCUUCCUUCCUACCGAACAGAGCAUUAAUGAAAAUUUCGCUUUUAUAAAUUUUUUUUUUUUUUU
Cornus florida is the source of this 2328-nucleotide long non-coding RNA. RefSeq lists it as uncharacterized. The record is from RefSeq and is a predicted model, not a curated record. Lineage: Eukaryota; Viridiplantae; Streptophyta; Magnoliopsida; Cornales; Cornaceae. The transcript is spliced from 2 exons.